RNAcentral lists this ribosomal RNA (350 nucleotides) under Bacillus amyloliquefaciens. RNAcentral's name for it is "bacterial SSU rRNA". It matches the Rfam family "Bacterial small subunit ribosomal RNA", at positions 1158 to 1533 of the family's 1533-position model. The record is from RNAcentral. Lineage: Bacteria; Bacillati; Bacillota; Bacilli; Caryophanales; Bacillaceae.
UUAAACUGGAGGAAGGUGGGGAUGACGUCAAAUCAUCAUGCCCCUUAUGACCUGGGCUACACACGUGCUACAAUGGACAGAACAAAGGGCAGCGAAACCGCGAGGUUAAGCCAAUCCCACAAAUCUGUUCUCAGUUCGGAUCGCAGUCUGCAACUCGACUGCGUGAAGCUGGAAUCGCUAGUAAUCGCGGAUCAGCAUGCCGCGGUGAAUACGUUCCCGGGCCUUGUACACACCGCCCGUCACACCACGAGAGUUUGUAACACCCGAAGUCGGUGAGGUAACCUUUAUGGAGCCAGCCGCCGAAGGUGGGACAGAUGAUUGGGGUGAAGUCGAAACAAGAGCUUGCUUUU